GACGAACGCUGGCGGCGUGCUUAACACAUGCAAGUCGAACGGAAAGGCCCUGCUUUUGUGGGGUGCUCGAGUGGCGAACGGGUGAGUAACACGUGAGUAACCUGCCCUUGACUUUGGGAUAACUUCAGGAAACUGGGGCUACUACCGGAUAGGAUCUCCUGCUGCAUGGUGGGGGUUGGAAAGUUUCGGCGGUUGGGGAUGGACUCGCGGCUUAUCAGCUUGUUGGUGGGGUAGUGGCUUACCAAGGCUUGGACGGGUAGCCGGCCUGAGAGGGUGACCGGGUACAGUGGGACAGGGAAACGGCCCAGACGGAUAAGGGAGGCAGCGGUGGGGAAUAGUGCACAAUGGGCCGAAGCGGGAUGGAGCAACGCCGGGUGGGGGAGGACGGCUUUCGGGUUGGAAAAGGAGUAGGCUUGUAACGAAGCGUGAGGGAGGGUAAUGGGGAAAGAAGAACGGGCUAAUUACGU
RNAcentral lists this ribosomal RNA (467 nucleotides) under uncultured bacterium. Its description in RNAcentral is "partial 16S ribosomal RNA". It matches the Rfam family "Bacterial small subunit ribosomal RNA", at positions 28 to 506 of the family's 1533-position model. The record is from RNAcentral.